GCCUGGGUGGCUCAGUCGGUUGAGCGUCCGACUUCGGCUCAGGUCAUGGUCUCAUAGCUUGUAAGUUCGAGCCCUGCAUCAGGCU
This 85-nucleotide transfer RNA is filed under the name Felis catus (domestic cat). It matches the Rfam family "tRNA". Rfam says of the family: Transfer RNA (tRNA) molecules are approximately 80 nucleotides in length. Their secondary structure includes four short double-helical elements and three loops (D, anti-codon, and T loops). Further hydrogen bonds mediate the characteristic L-shaped molecular structure. tRNAs have two regions of fundamental functional importance: the anti-codon, which is responsible for specific mRNA codon recognition, and the 3' end, to which the tRNAs corresponding amino acid is attached (by aminoacyl-tRNA synthetases). tRNAs cope with the degeneracy of the genetic code in two manners: having more than one tRNA (with a specific anti-codon) for a particular amino acid; and 'wobble' base-pairing, i.e. permitting non-standard base-pairing at the 3rd anti-codon position. RNAcentral also lists the same sequence under 1 other name. The record is from Rfam by way of RNAcentral. Lineage: Eukaryota; Metazoa; Chordata; Mammalia; Carnivora; Felidae.